This 1441-nucleotide ribosomal RNA is filed under the name Lactiplantibacillus pentosus. RNAcentral's name for it is "bacterial SSU rRNA". It matches the Rfam family "Bacterial small subunit ribosomal RNA". The record is from RNAcentral. Lineage: Bacteria; Bacillati; Bacillota; Bacilli; Lactobacillales; Lactobacillaceae.
UGGCUCAGGACGAACGCUGGCGGCGUGCCUAAUACAUGCAAGUCGAACGAACUCUGGUAUUGAUUGGUGCUUGCAUCAUGAUUUACAUUUGAGUGAGUGGCGAACUGGUGAGUAACACGUGGGAAACCUGCCCAGAAGCGGGGGAUAACACCUGGAAACAGAUGCUAAUACCGCAUAACAACUUGGACCGCAUGGUCCGAGUUUGAAAGAUGGCUUCGGCUAUCACUUUUGGAUGGUCCCGCGGCGUAUUAGCUAGAUGGUGAGGUAACGGCUCACCAUGGCAAUGAUACGUAGCCGACCUGAGAGGGUAAUCGGCCACAUUGGGACUGAGACACGGCCCAAACUCCUACGGGAGGCAGCAGUAGGGAAUCUUCCACAAUGGACGAAAGUCUGAUGGAGCAACGCCGCGUGAGUGAAGAAGGGUUUCGGCUCGUAAAACUCUGUUGUUAAAGAAGAACAUAUCUGAGAGUAACUGUUCAGGUAUUGACGGUAUUUAACCAGAAAGCCACGGCUAACUACGUGCCAGCAGCCGCGGUAAUACGUAGGUGGCAAGCGUUGUCCGGAUUUAUUGGGCGUAAAGCGAGCGCAGGCGGUUUUUUAAGUCUGAUGUGAAAGCCUUCGGCUCAACCGAAGAAGUGCAUCGGAAACUGGGAAACUUGAGUGCAGAAGAGGACAGUGGAACUCCAUGUGUAGCGGUGAAAUGCGUAGAUAUAUGGAAGAACACCAGUGGCGAAGGCGGCUGUCUGGUCUGUAACUGACGCUGAGGCUCGAAAGUAUGGGUAGCAAACAGGAUUAGAUACCCUGGUAGUCCAUACCGUAAACGAUGAAUGCUAAGUGUUGGAGGGUUUCCGCCCUUCAGUGCUGCAGCUAACGCAUUAAGCAUUCCGCCUGGGGAGUACGGCCGCAAGGCUGAAACUCAAAGGAAUUGACGGGGGCCCGCACAAGCGGUGGAGCAUGUGGUUUAAUUCGAAGCUACGCGAAGAACCUUACCAGGUCUUGACAUACUAUGCAAAUCUAAGAGAUUAGACGUUCCCUUCGGGGACAUGGAUACAGGUGGUGCAUGGUUGUCGUCAGCUCGUGUCGUGAGAUGUUGGGUUAAGUCCCGCAACGAGCGCAACCCUUAUUAUCAGUUGCCAGCAUUAAGUUGGGCACUCUGGUGAGACUGCCGGUGACAAACCGGAGGAAGGUGGGGAUGACGUCAAAUCAUCAUGCCCCUUAUGACCUGGGCUACACACGUGCUACAAUGGAUGGUACAACGAGUUGCGAACUCGCGAGAGUAAGCUAAUCUCUUAAAGCCAUUCUCAGUUCGGAUUGUAGGCUGCAACUCGCCUACAUGAAGUCGGAAUCGCUAGUAAUCGCGGAUCAGCAUGCCGCGGUGAAUACGUUCCCGGGCCUUGUACACACCGCCCGUCACACCAUGAGAGUUUGUAACACCCAAAGU